GCCACACAAGUACCCGUGCUGAAGGAAGGAUCAGUAUCAGUACCAGAGGACUGAUACAAGCUGCUAAAACUGAGAGGAAGAGCAGACUAUUGCUUUGGGGGGCAGCAAACUGGCUGAAUUUAUGCUGCAGUCUAGGAAGGCUCCAGUGCAUGACUUCCCUCUCUCUGUGCUGCCGCUUCUAUGAAGAUGCCAAGAAAGAACUGAAAGGUCAAGAAAACUGAGCUAGAAGAAAUGGAUAUGCUGUUUUCAAGCACCUCAACUUGGCACACAUGGAGAACAUUUAAAUUUCUGGUUUACUGCCUUCUUCUGGACCCUCCGGGGCAAGAAACCUAAUUAAUUUAUGUAAUGGACCAUUAACAGCUCCCUGAUUACAAUCAUUACAAUUCACAACUAUGUUUAUGGAUGAUUUUGAUUCACUGACAUAAAUAUUACAACU
This is a long non-coding RNA of Pygoscelis adeliae (Adelie penguin), 436 nucleotides long. RefSeq lists it as uncharacterized. The transcript is spliced from 2 exons. NCBI's taxonomy places the organism in Eukaryota, Metazoa, Chordata, Aves, Sphenisciformes, Spheniscidae. The record is from RefSeq and is a predicted model, not a curated record.